This 940-nucleotide ribosomal RNA is filed under the name Enterobacter sp. Its description in RNAcentral is "bacterial SSU rRNA". It matches the Rfam family "Bacterial small subunit ribosomal RNA", at positions 62 to 998 of the family's 1533-position model. Lineage: Bacteria; Pseudomonadati; Pseudomonadota; Gammaproteobacteria; Enterobacterales; Enterobacteriaceae. The record is from RNAcentral.
UCGAGCGAGCGGCUGCGCUCCAUCGUGACGGUGCCGAAGCUUGCUCUCGGGUGAGAGCGGCGGACGGGUGAGUAAUGUCUGGGAAACUGCCUGAUGGAGGGGGAUAACUACUGGAAACGGUAGCUAAUACCGCAUAACGUCGCAAGACCAAAGAGGGGGACCUUCGGGCCUCUUGCCAUCACAUGUGCCCAGAUGGGAUUAUCUAGUAGGUGGGGUAAUGGCUCACCUAGGCGACGAUCCCUAGCUGGUCUGAGAGGAUGACCAGCCACACUGGAACUGAGACACGGUCCAGACUCCUACGGGAGGCAGCAGUGGGGAAUAUUGCGCAAUGGGCGCAAGCCUGAUGCAGCCAUGCCGCGUGUAUGAAGAAAGCCUUCGGGUUGUAAAGUACUUUCAGCGAGGAGGAAGGCAUUGUGGUUAAUAACCACAGUGAUUGACGUUACUCGCAGAAAAAACACCGGCUAACUCCGUGCCAGCAGCCGCGGUAAUACGGAGGGUGCGAGCGUUAAUCGGAAUUACUGGGCGUAAAGCGCACGCAGGCGGUCUGUCAAGUCGGAUGUGAAAUCCCCGGGCUCUACCUGGGAACUGCGUUCUAAACUGUCAGGCUAUAGUCUUGUAUAGGGGGGUAGAAUUCCAGGUGUAUCGGUGAAAUGCGUAUAGAUCUGGAGGAAUACCGGUGGCGAAAGCGGCCCCCUGGACACAGACUGACGCUCACGUGCGAAAGCGUGGGGAGCAACAGGAUUUAUACCCUGGGAGUCCACGCCGUAACGAUGUCACUUGUAGGUGUUCCCUUGAGGAGAGGUUCGGAGCUACGCGUUAAUCGACGCCUGGGGAGACGGCCGCAGGUUAAACUCAAUGAAUGACGGGGGCCGCACAACGGUGGAGAUGUGGUUAUUCUAUGCACGCGAAAAACUUACCACUCUUGAAUCCCAGAAUUUUA